Long non-coding RNA from Zonotrichia albicollis (white-throated sparrow), 1712 nucleotides. RefSeq lists it as uncharacterized. The record is from RefSeq and is a predicted model, not a curated record. NCBI's taxonomy places the organism in Eukaryota, Metazoa, Chordata, Aves, Passeriformes, Passerellidae.
CAAACUUAACAACCCCGGUUCUUGGUAUAAGCACUCAAAUUACCCUUCUUUCUACAUAUAAACACGGCCCGGGGUGUGCGGCUCUCCCCGGCCGCGGGGUCCCCCCGGCCCAGUCCGGCUCCCCCGCACCGACCCCGGCCCCGGCCGGAGGGAGUUUCUGCUGCGGGACACGGCAGGAGAACACGAGCCGAACACAGAAUCCCCGCUCCGCAUGGCUCCCCCGGGCUAGCGCUCAGGUGGUGUUGACAGAAGAAGAUGGGUAGGAGAUUUCAAUGGCAGGCACACGUGUCCCAGGAGAGGGUGAGACACCAACAGAGAUGGAGCAAGAAAUGAGCCUUGGACAGCUGCAGGAGAGAAACCCAAACCUUCUCUGGAAAGUAGGGUCACCUGCAGGCUGGGGACACCUUAUGAAACACCCAUCCCUCCAGACAUGUGUGAGCAUCAAGCAGCCACCAGGAGCUGGCAUGGGUCCCAUGGGCACUGGGAAAGGUGCAGAGCACAGCAAUAAGGGUGGCAGGUGCCACUCAGGACCCACCUUUCUGCUGGGAUGUGCCUAUGGAUAGAAGGGGAAAUGUGAAAGAGACAAUGGGGAAUCAAGGGAACACAGCAGCACCUAAAUGAAGGGGUGAAGACUGAACGUGUGAAACAAAAGUGGGGAGAAGAUCCACAGCGGGAGCAUCUCCUUCAGAGGGAGAUGAUUUCAGAGGGGUUGUGAGUGUUUGAGCCAGCUCAGGAUUUUUCUGGGAAAGGUUAGGCGGGUGUUUCUAGCCAGCUCUGUUGGGGAUGGCUGCAAUGUUUAUUCACGGUGGGGAAGGAAGGGACCAGCUGACUUUUAGAUCCCCAAAAGCAUAAAGAGUGGGCCCUUUUCUGUGAUCAUGGACAAUGAUUGUACUACUUCACCUCAGGGCUUUUCAGAUGUCAGCCAAGUCCCAACAAAUUAAAUGAUGAAGAAAGGGGGAAUAAACCCCAAUGCAAGCAAGGCAGCACAAUUUCCUCCCCUGCCUUAGGGCUGCCCUUACUAAAAGCUCAUCUGAUCCUACAUUUGGGACUGAAAGGUGAACUCCAAAUGCAGAGCAAACAUCCCUUUAUGGGGUCUCUCUUUUCACCCUUAGAACAGAGACCUCCCCAUUUCCACAGCUGCUGGGUGCAGCCUCUUGGUGCCACCAUCUCAGCCUUUUGUCCCAAGCAAGAUCUUCCUAUGGGAAGGCAAUUUUAUUCCCAUGCACCUUCCCUGGUUCUCUUUGGGUCUGUGUCCCCUCUCCAGCAUCCCUUCACCCUAUUAAUAUCCUUUGACUGUCCUCACACCUGCAGACAAUCUGGUCCCCAACCACCUCCACCUCCCCCCUUCCUCAAAAGCUUCCCUCAGCUGUCUUUAAGUCGUAGCUGAAAUCUGUGGUAUGUAGGAGGAGAAAUUCAGUCUGACAGCAGUUUAAAACACCGCACUACUUGGCAGAUUUAAAUGCUAUUUUAAAUAUAAGCUAUGACACAACGGACAAAAAUAGCAUUGAAAAUACCCUGUCAUGUUCCAUAUUGCGAGGAAUAGGGAAGCAGACCAGGCUAGAAAGGAGCAGAGAGAGGGGCCAGAUGGAGAGGAGAGGUUAUUUUGUUUGUUUUAAAGAAACUGGAUAAAUGUAUUUUGUAUGUGACUGAGUAAAUGUGUUUUAUACAGCAACGAGCCAAAAAAAAAAAUAAACCUUCUCAUGAAAAAUCUA